GCUAAAUUCUGCUGUUCAAGUUUGUUACCAGGAAAACUGAUGAAGGCAAUGCUGUGGAUGUUGUGUACAUGGACUUUGGCAAGGCAUUCAACAAGGUCCCACGCAGGAGGUUGGCCAAGAAGGUUCAAUUGCUUGGCAUUCAAGAUGAGGUCUGACUGAGAACGGAAUAAUGGAGUUCGCUGAUGGAGAAGAGUCAUUUAAAGGAAGUUAUGGCUAGGCAGCAGCCAUCAGUGGCGGAGCGAAGAGAAGAAACAGGAAGAAAAGAGAAAGAAAAUAUAUAGUGAGCCAGAGUUAAAGGAGGAAUACCUGAGAAAGGAAAAGCAAAGAUGGAAGAAGCGAGUAGAGAAUGGGAGAUAAAAACUAUGUGAUUUGAAUGAAAGGGAAAAGAGGAGUAAGAGAAAGGCGUGGAAACGUAGACAGCAAGAGUCAAGAGAGCGUUAAGAGAAUGCUGAUGGAGGAAAUGGAGCAGGAACCCCAGAGUGGUCCUGACGAGACUACAACAGAUAUAUCUGCUGGUGUCAUUAAUUGUGGAGAUUGGCUUGCAGUCAUUUAUGACCAAAAUUGGUGGUUAGCAAAUGCUGUCACUGUGGAUGCUCAUCAUCAAGAAGUUCACCUCCGUGGGCCCAACACGCACUUCCGUCCAGAACCAGGUGGAAAGGAUACGUGCUUCGUACCAGUUGAAGAUAUUCUGGUCAGACUGAUGGAGCCAUCAUCACCGGGUCGUGCAAGCAGGAUGAGGGAGUUCUACCACCUGUCUGCUGAAGUCAUAGACUUCAGAGGAGGAACAUAUUAAUCACUUACUUCCUGAUGAAGCUGACUGAAUGUUUUCAAAGAUUUUCAAGCCCAGAAAUGGAUGGAUUUUUUUAAAAAUUCCUGGCGUGUUUUCUGAUUUUUAUGCUUAAACAUUACUGUAGCUUUUAUUUUGCUGUUUACCAUUGUUGUUGAUAUUUACAGAAGGAUGAAACGUAGAUGACAAAUCGUUUGUUGUA
Molecule: long non-coding RNA, 989 nt
Organism: Hypanus sabinus (Atlantic stingray)
Lineage: Eukaryota; Metazoa; Chordata; Chondrichthyes; Myliobatiformes; Dasyatidae
Exons: 3
Source: RefSeq, a predicted model, not a curated record